UCCUACGGGAGGCAGCAGUGGGGAAUUUUGGACAAUGGGCGCAAGCCUGAUCCAGCAAUGCCGCGUGCAGGAUGAAGGCCUUCGGGUUGUAAACUGCUUUUGUACGGAACGAAAAGCCCUGGGUUAAUACCCUGGGGUCGUGACGGUACC
RNAcentral lists this ribosomal RNA (150 nucleotides) under uncultured Comamonas sp. RNAcentral describes it as "partial 16S ribosomal RNA". It matches the Rfam family "Bacterial small subunit ribosomal RNA", at positions 337 to 479 of the family's 1533-position model. The record is from RNAcentral. Lineage: Bacteria; Pseudomonadati; Pseudomonadota; Betaproteobacteria; Burkholderiales; Comamonadaceae.